UACGAAGGGGGCUAGCGUUGUUCGGAUUUACUGGGCGUAAAGCGCACGUAGGCGGAUCGUUAAGUCGGGGGUGAAAUCCUGGAGCUCAACUCCAGAACUGCCUUCGAUACUGGCGAUCUUGAGUCCGGAAGAGGUGAGUGGAACUCCUAGUGUAGAGGUGGAAUUCGUAGAUAUUAGGAAGAACACCAGUGGCGAAGGCGGCUCACUGGUCCGGUACUGACGCUGAGGUGCGAGAGCGUGGGGAGCAAACAGG
RNAcentral lists this ribosomal RNA (253 nucleotides) under uncultured bacterium. Its description in RNAcentral is "partial 16S ribosomal RNA". It matches the Rfam family "Bacterial small subunit ribosomal RNA", at positions 524 to 776 of the family's 1533-position model. The record is from RNAcentral.